RNAcentral lists this ribosomal RNA (252 nucleotides) under uncultured bacterium. RNAcentral describes it as "partial 16S ribosomal RNA". It matches the Rfam family "Bacterial small subunit ribosomal RNA", at positions 525 to 776 of the family's 1533-position model. The record is from RNAcentral.
ACGUAGGGUGCAAGCGUUAAUCGGAAUUACUGGGCGUAAAGCGUGCGCAGGCGGUUAUGUAAGACAGGCGUGAAAUCCCCGGGCUCAACCUGGGAAUUGCGCUUGUGACUGCAUAACUAGAGUACGGUAGAGGGGGAUGGAAUUCCGCGUGUAGCAGUGAAAUGCGUAGAUAUGCGGAGGAACACCAAUGGCGAAGGCAGUCCCCUGGACCUGUACUGACGCUCAUGCACGAAAGCGUGGGGAGCAAACAGG